GACGGAGGGAGCAAGCGUUGCUCGGAAUUAUUGGGCGUAAAGGGUGCGUAGGUGGUUUUUUAAGUGAAAUGUUAGAGAUUCGGGCUCAACCUGAAAAAUGCGUUUCAUACUGAAAAACUUGAGUACGGGAGAGGAAACAGGAAUUCUUCAAGUAGAGGUGAAAUUCGUAGAUAUGAAGAGGAACUCCAGAGGCGAAGGCGAGUUUCUGGAACGUAACUGACACUGAGGCACGAAAGCGUGGGGAGCAAACAGG
This 253-nucleotide ribosomal RNA is filed under the name uncultured bacterium. Its description in RNAcentral is "partial 16S ribosomal RNA". It matches the Rfam family "Bacterial small subunit ribosomal RNA", at positions 524 to 776 of the family's 1533-position model. The record is from RNAcentral.